CUUCCAGCAAUGUACCCGUCAAUUAGCGACCUAAUAAUUCAAUUUGAUUUAAACAAAGUGGUCGGGCCUGAUAUAGAACAAUUGACAGAUGCAUUUGGAAGAGAUAUACUAAAGGAUGAAUUCAAGACACGAUCAAAGAGUCUCCCUGAGACUGAUGAACGAUUGCAUAGUACAACUGAGAGAGGUACAAUAAAUGAUGCAAUUAAGACGCAGUUAAAGAGAAA
RNAcentral lists this long non-coding RNA (224 nucleotides) under Homo sapiens (human). RNAcentral describes it as "HSALNT0161028". Lineage: Eukaryota; Metazoa; Chordata; Mammalia; Primates; Hominidae. The record is from RNAcentral.